This 418-nucleotide long non-coding RNA is filed under the name Gouania willdenowi (blunt-snouted clingfish). RNAcentral describes it as "lncRNA (ENSGWIG00000003895.1)". Lineage: Eukaryota; Metazoa; Chordata; Actinopteri; Blenniiformes; Gobiesocidae. The record is from RNAcentral.
ACGGAGACUGCAGUGUGAGACACACACACACACACACACACACACACACACACACACACACACACACACAGUGCUACACAUGUGUGUGUGUGUGUGUGUUAUAGACUCUCAGAGGAUCAAUGAUGGUGAAUUCUCAGAUCACGAGUGUGAAGAAGGAAUUGAAGUGAUUUCAGAUUACAGACAGAAUGGGCGGGACUUCCAUGGCUCCAGCCUAUCAGUGCCUGAGCAGGUCCUCCUGUCCAACCCCUGCUCACGGUCUGAUUCCCUCAGGAGGAGGUCCAGAUCUCCCAGCCAAUCACUGCCUCCCAACAGCUCCAACUCUCUCUACCCGUUGAACCGUGAGGACGCCGUGAGGCUGCUUCAAGGUUCCAAAAUGAACCGAGCGUCCUCUGACAGUAGCGGCAGCCUGGACAGGUAA